UACAGAGGGGGCAAGCGUUGUUCGGAAUUACUGGGCGUAAAGGGCGCGUAGGCGGCCCGCUAAGUCGAACGUGAAAUCCCCAGGCUCAACCUGGGAACUGCGUCCGAUACUGGUGGGCUUGAAUUCGGGAGAGGGAUGCGGAAUUCCAGGUGUAGCGGUGAAAUGCGUAGAUAUCUGGAGGAACACCGGUGGCGAAGGCGGCAUCCUGGACCGAUAUUGACGCUGAGGCGCGAAAGCCAGGGGAGCAAACGGG
This 253-nucleotide ribosomal RNA is filed under the name uncultured bacterium. RNAcentral describes it as "partial 16S ribosomal RNA". It matches the Rfam family "Bacterial small subunit ribosomal RNA", at positions 524 to 776 of the family's 1533-position model. The record is from RNAcentral.